AGUGAACGCUGGCGGUAGGCCUAACACAUGCAAGUCGAACGGCAGCACAGUAAGAGCUUGCUCUUACGGGUGGCGAGUGGCGGACGGGUGAGGAAUACAUCGGAAUCUACUUUUUCGUGGGGGAUAACGUAGGGAAACUUACGCUAAUACCGCAUACGACCUACGGGUGAAAGCAGGGGAUCUUCGGACCUUGCGCGAUUGAAUGAGCCGAUGUCGGAUUAGCUAGUUGGCGGGGUAAAGGCCCACCAAGGCGAUGAUCCGUAGCUGGUCUGAGAGGAUGAUCAGCCACACUGGAACUGAGACACGGUCCAGACUCCUACGGGAGGCAGCAGUGGGGAAUAUUGGACAAUGGGCGCAAGCCUGAUCCAGCCAUACCGCGUGGGUGAAGAAGGCCUUCGGGUUGUAAAGCCCUUUUGUUGGGAAAGGAAAGCAGCAGGUUAAUACCCCGCUGUUCUGACGGUACCCAAAGAAUAAGCACCGGCUAACUUCGUG
RNAcentral lists this ribosomal RNA (492 nucleotides) under uncultured bacterium. RNAcentral's name for it is "partial 16S ribosomal RNA". It matches the Rfam family "Bacterial small subunit ribosomal RNA", at positions 29 to 507 of the family's 1533-position model. The record is from RNAcentral.